CCUACGGGUGGCAGCAGUGAGGAAUAUUGGUCAAUGGACGAGAGUCUGAACCAGCCAAGUAGCGUGAAGGAUGACUGCCCUAUGGGUUGUAAACUUCUUUUAUAUGGGAAUAAAACGUUCCACGUGUGGGAUUUUGUAUGUACCAUAUGAAUAAGGAUCGGCUAACUCCGUGCCAGCAGCCGCGGUAAUACGGAGGAUCCGAGCGUUAUCCGGAUUUAUUGGGUUUAAAGGGAGCGUAGGUGGAUUGUUAAGUCAGUUGUGAAAGUUUGGGGCUCAACCGUAAAAUUGCAGUUGAAACUGGCAGUCUUGAGUACAGUAGAGGUGGGCGGAAUGCGUGGUGUAGCGGUGAAAUGCUUAGAGAUCACGAAGAACUCCGAUUGCGAAGGCAGUUCACUGGACUGCAACUGACACUGAGGCUCGAAAGUGUGGGUAUCAAACAGGAUUAGAUACCCUGGUAGUC
Molecule: ribosomal RNA, 460 nt
Filed under: uncultured bacterium
Lineage: Bacteria
Description: partial 16S ribosomal RNA
Rfam family: Bacterial small subunit ribosomal RNA
Source: RNAcentral